CCAGACUCCUACGGGAGGCAGCAGUGGGGAAUAUUGCACAAUGGGGGAAACCCUGAUGCAGCGACGCCGCGUGAGCGAUGAAGUAUUUCGGUAUGUAAAGCUCUAUCAGCAGGGAAGAAAAUGACGGUACCUGACUAAGAAGCCCCGGCUAACUACGUGCCAGCAGCCGCGGUAAUACGUAGGGGGCAAGCGUUAUCCGGAUUUACUGGGUGUAAAGGGAGCGUAGACGGCGGUGCAAGCCAGAUGUGAAAGCCCGGGGCUCAACCCCGGGACUGCAUUUGGAACUGUGCUGCUAGAGUGUCGGAGAGGCAGGCGGAAGUCCUAGUGUAGCGGUGAAAUGCGUAGAUAUUAGGAGGAACACCGGCGGCGAAGGCGGCCUGCUGGACCGUAACUGACGUUGAGGCUCGAAAGCGUGGGGAGCAAACAGGAUUAGAUACCCCAGUAAGA
RNAcentral lists this ribosomal RNA (447 nucleotides) under uncultured bacterium. Its description in RNAcentral is "partial 16S ribosomal RNA". It matches the Rfam family "Bacterial small subunit ribosomal RNA", at positions 331 to 794 of the family's 1533-position model. The record is from RNAcentral.